RNAcentral lists this ribosomal RNA (493 nucleotides) under uncultured bacterium. RNAcentral describes it as "partial 16S ribosomal RNA". It matches the Rfam family "Bacterial small subunit ribosomal RNA", at positions 28 to 523 of the family's 1533-position model. The record is from RNAcentral.
GACGAACGCUGGCGGCGUGCUUAACACAUGCAAGUCGAACGCUGAAGCCCUUUCGGGGGUGGAUGAGUGGCGAACGGGUGAGUAACACGUGGGUAAUCUGCCCUGUACUUCGGGAUAAGCCUUGGAAACGGGGUCUAAUACCGGAUAGGACCUGUCCUCGCAUGGGGGUGGGUGGAAAGUUCCGGCGGUAUGGGAUGAGCCCGCGGCCUAUCAGCUUGUUGGUGGGGUAGAGGCCUACCAAGGCGACGACGGGUAGCCGGCCUGAGAGGGUGACCGGUCACACUGGGACUGAGACACGGCCCAGACUCCUACGGGAGGCAGCAGUGGGGAAUCUUGCGCAAUGGGCGAAAGCCUGACGCAGCAACGCCGCGUGGGGGAUGACGGCCUUCGGGUUGUAAACCUCUUUCGACAUCGACGAAGGGGCCCUGUUGUGGGGUUUUAACGGUAGGUGUAGAAGAAGCACCGGCUAACUACGUGCCAGCCGCCGCAGUAA